RNAcentral lists this ribosomal RNA (406 nucleotides) under uncultured bacterium. RNAcentral describes it as "partial 16S ribosomal RNA". It matches the Rfam family "Bacterial small subunit ribosomal RNA", at positions 30 to 526 of the family's 1533-position model. The record is from RNAcentral.
AUUGAACGCUGGCGGCAGGCUUAACACAUGCAAGUCGAGCGAGCGGCGGACGGGUGAGUAAUGUCUGGGAACCUGCCUGAUGGAGGGGGAUAACUACUGGAAACGGUAGCUAAUACCGCAUACCAUCAGAUGUGCCCAGAUGGGAGUAGCUAGUAGGUGGGGUAAUGGCCCACCUAGGCGACGCUCCCUAGCUGGUCUGAGAGGAUGACCAGCCACACUGGAACUGAGACACGGUCCAGACUCCGACGGGAGGCAGCAGUGGGGAAUAUUGCACAAUGGGCGAAAGCCUGAUGCAGCCAUGCCGCGUGUGUGAAGAAGGCCUUCGGGUUGUAAAGCACUUUCAGCGAGGAGGCGUUACUCGAAGAAGAAGCACCGGCUAACUCCGUGCCAGCAGCCGCGGUAAUAC